Molecule: ribosomal RNA, 246 nt
Filed under: uncultured Lactobacillus sp.
Lineage: Bacteria; Bacillati; Bacillota; Bacilli; Lactobacillales; Lactobacillaceae
Description: partial 16S ribosomal RNA
Rfam family: Bacterial small subunit ribosomal RNA
Source: RNAcentral
CGUGGGUAACCUGCCCAAGAGAUCGGGAUAACACCUGGAAACAGAUGCUAAUACCGGAUAACAACAGAUGAUGCCUAUCAACUGUUUAAAAGAUGGUUCUGCUAUCACUCUUGGAUGGACCUGCGGUGCAUUAGCUAGUUGGUAGGGUAACGGCCUACAAAGGCGAUGAUGCAUAGCCGAGUUGAGAGACUGAUCGGCCACAUUGGGACUGAGACACGGCCCAAACUCCUACGGGAGGCAGCAGCC